UACGGGGGGGGCAAGCGUUGUUCGGAAUUACUGGGCGUAAAGGGCUCGUAGGUGGCCAACUAAGUCAGACGUGAAAUCCCUCGGCUUAACCGGGGAACUGCAUCUGAUACUGGAUGGCUUGAGUUUGGGAGAGGGAUGCGGAAUUCCAGGUGUAGCGGUGAAAUGCGUAGAUAUCUGGAGGAACACCAAUAGCGAAGGCAGCUCGCUGGGACGUUACUGACACUGAGGCGCGAAAGCGUGGGGAGCGAACAGG
This 253-nucleotide ribosomal RNA is filed under the name uncultured bacterium. RNAcentral's name for it is "partial 16S ribosomal RNA". It matches the Rfam family "Bacterial small subunit ribosomal RNA", at positions 524 to 776 of the family's 1533-position model. The record is from RNAcentral.